UGCGACCAGCAGGGGCCACCAGCCUGAGGAAGACCAAUUUCCCUUCUUCUCCCAUCUCCUCACUUCUCAUGUGUCACAGUCAUAACUAUCAGCAGAGGGAGAGUGAAGAAGCACAAGUUACUUGAUAGACUUCCUCAAAUAGCUAAGUCCUCUUCUCUGAGCCGAUCAAGCUCUUCCUCCUCGUUCAGACUGCCGGUAGAGCAGUCAGAAACCCUGCCCCAUGUCCCAGACCUGUUCCUGUACAAAAAUCUGUUGCUGCUCUCCUCUCGAUCAUCAAAG
Molecule: long non-coding RNA, 279 nt
Organism: Fukomys damarensis (Damara mole-rat)
Lineage: Eukaryota; Metazoa; Chordata; Mammalia; Rodentia; Bathyergidae
Exons: 3
Source: RefSeq, a predicted model, not a curated record